GAUGAACGCUGGCGGCGUGCUUAACACAUGCAAGUCGAACGGACCUAAUCUUUCGGGAGAGGGUUAGUGGCAGACGGGUGCGUAACACGUGGGUGACCUGCCCUGGAGUGGGGAAUAAUCUUGCGAAAGUGAGACUAAUACCGCAUAAGCUCGGUGAUGCGAGUCAUUGAGUAAAGCCUUCGGGUGCUUCGGGAUGGGCCUGCGGCGGAUUAGGUAGUUGGUGGGUAAAGGCCUACCAAGCCGAUGAUCCGUAGGGGGCGUGAGAGCGUGGCCCCCCACACUGGCGACUGAGAUACGGCCGACACGUCCUACCGGGAGGGCUCG
This 324-nucleotide ribosomal RNA is filed under the name uncultured Chloroflexota bacterium. Its description in RNAcentral is "bacterial SSU rRNA". It matches the Rfam family "Bacterial small subunit ribosomal RNA", at positions 28 to 351 of the family's 1533-position model. The record is from RNAcentral. Lineage: Bacteria; Bacillati; Chloroflexota.